This 147-nucleotide non-coding RNA is filed under the name Chlorocebus sabaeus (green monkey). The record is from Rfam by way of RNAcentral. Lineage: Eukaryota; Metazoa; Chordata; Mammalia; Primates; Cercopithecidae.
GCCGGGCGUGGUGGCGGCGCCUGUAAUCCCAGCUACUCGGGAGGCUGAGGCAGGAGAAUCGCUUGAACCCGGGAGGCGGAGGUUGCAGUGAGCCGAGAUCGGGUCAUUGCAUUCCAUCCUGGGCGACAGAGUGAGACCCUGUCUCAA